RNAcentral lists this ribosomal RNA (208 nucleotides) under uncultured bacterium. Its description in RNAcentral is "partial 16S ribosomal RNA". It matches the Rfam family "Bacterial small subunit ribosomal RNA", at positions 568 to 775 of the family's 1533-position model. The record is from RNAcentral.
CGCGUAGGCGGACGAUUAAGUUAGAGGUGAAAGCCCCGGGCUCAACCUGGGAACUGCCUUUGAAACUGAUAGUCUAGAGUCCGAGAGAGGAUGGCGGAAUUCCCAGUGUAGAGGUGAAAUUCGUAGAUAUUGGGAAGAACACCAGUGGCGAAGGCGGCCAUCUGGCUCGGUACUGACGCUGAGGCGCGAAAGCGUGGGGAGCAAACAG